This 257-nucleotide long non-coding RNA is filed under the name Mytilus galloprovincialis (Mediterranean mussel). Lineage: Eukaryota; Metazoa; Mollusca; Bivalvia; Mytilida; Mytilidae. The record is from RNAcentral.
CAAGUAUCAUAAUGACAAAGUAUCAUAAUGACAAAGUAUCAAAAUGACAAAGUAUCAUAAUGACAAAGUAUCAUAAUGACAAAGUAUCAAAAUGACAAAGUAUCAUAGUGACAAAGUAUCAUAAUGACCAAGUAUCAUAAUGACAAAGUAUCAUAAUGACAAAGUAUCAAAAUGACAAAGUAUCAUAAUGACAAAGUAUCAAAAUGACAAAGUAUCAUAGUGACAAAGUAUCAUAACGACCAAGUAUCAUAAUGACA